CUUUGAAAAACGAUCGUGGAGGAGAUGAAGCGCAGGUUUGUUAGUUCAGGGAAGCAGAGGAAUUGUACCUCCGUGGUUGAGGCGUCGACAGUAUUGUGCAUCAUGCAGCUCGCUUCUAUUGGAAAAGAAUCAAAGAGUUCAGACGACAUUGUUUACUGAUGGAAGAGGGUACUUACUUGAUCUCCAGAAUUGGUUAAUGUGAUUCAUGAAGAUUACUCCGAGCUACUUUGAGCCUUGAAGAAUGCAAUAUAUAUGUCAUCAUGGAAGUGAAGUUGGGGAUCAUUUGUGUAUGUGGAUGCAUGGAUCACUUCUCUGGAAGCAGCAUGACAUGAAGCUAAAAAGUGGAUGAUCAAGUCAUGUCUACUCAGUCACAU
Molecule: long non-coding RNA, 374 nt
Organism: Rosa rugosa (rugosa rose)
Lineage: Eukaryota; Viridiplantae; Streptophyta; Magnoliopsida; Rosales; Rosaceae
Exons: 3
Source: RefSeq, a predicted model, not a curated record